GAAGUAAACCGGGCGGUCGCUGUCCCCGUUCUACGGGCGGGGAGAGAGGAAAGUCCGGGCUCCACAGAGCGGGAUACUCCCUAAUCGGGAGUGGGGGCGACCCCAAGGAAAGCGCCACAGAAAAGACACGGCCCACCCGGGACGGGUCUCCCGUCCCGGCGGCAAAGGUGAAAAGGCGAGGUAAGAGCUCACCGUGCCGCUGGCGACAGCGGUAGCAAGGCAAGCCCUAUCCGGAGCAAGACCAAAUAGGAAAGCGAUCGAGGACGGCUCGUCCGAGGCUUUCGGGUUGGUCGCUUGAGCCUGCCGGCAACGGCAGGCCUAGAUUGAUGACCGCCGCUCCAUGCAAAUGGAGAACAGAACCCGGCUUACAGGUUUACUUCGGCG
RNAcentral lists this RNase P RNA (384 nucleotides) under Nitrospinota bacterium. RNAcentral's name for it is "RNase P RNA component class A". It matches the Rfam family "Bacterial RNase P class A". Rfam says of the family: Ribonuclease P (RNase P) is a ubiquitous endoribonuclease, found in archaea, bacteria and eukarya as well as chloroplasts and mitochondria. Its best characterised activity is the generation of mature 5'-ends of tRNAs by cleaving the 5'-leader elements of precursor-tRNAs. Lineage: Bacteria; Pseudomonadati; Nitrospinota. The record is from RNAcentral.